Octopus sinensis (East Asian common octopus) is the source of this 167-nucleotide long non-coding RNA. RefSeq lists it as uncharacterized. The transcript is spliced from 3 exons. The record is from RefSeq and is a predicted model, not a curated record. Lineage: Eukaryota; Metazoa; Mollusca; Cephalopoda; Octopoda; Octopodidae.
UAAAACCUCUAAGGGAUGGUUAAAUCCAAAGGUGCUCCUGGUGAUUACCUGCAUAGGCACAGUCCUUGGUAAAAGGUAUACGGUAGCAGGUAAUUCAACAAGUAAACCGUAGUUUAAUUAUAUGGAAGAAGAAAAUAGAGGAAGAAGAGUGGGAGGAGGAAGUUGGU